GAAAAGAGGGAGGAAAAGUGACUGGAAAUCGUGGCAGCAGCACCCCAGGACAUGUAAAGGUCUCUGCCUGCCUCCAAGUCCACCCUACCGGCUGCUGCUGCUGGAGGAGUCCUUGGGGGCUGCCCCAGUGCUGUUAAGUGAGUAAUAGAAAGGAAAGUGUGUGAAGAGGGCACCUCUCCUGCCUGGAUUGCGAAGGGAAAGGCUGUGGGUUGUGUGCACUUACCUCUCUGUGUGUCUGUGUGUGUGUAUGUUUCAGUGGCCAGUCAGUGUUUCUCUAUGUGAAAGUGAAGAGAAGAGCACUCAGCAGAGCCUCGGUUUUCACCGUACACUGCUCCACAUACAGUACAUGCAACCCGGAGAGACUGAAAACAUUCAUUUUUAUAUAAGGCAGCCUGCGAUUGGCUCAGGGACUGAGGGACAGGUUUGCCAGCCAUACAGCUGGCCUGUUACACCCAAAGAGCGAGAGACUCGCACGCACACACACACUCAUAUGCACACACUCACACACAAAGAUCAUCUCGUUUCUUUUACUAAUGUUUCAGGACCUGUAGACAGCCUAGCAGGGCAGGUAGAAGGACCAGCAAACUCAGAUAACCCUCUUCUGAUGUAUUCACGUGGAGACACUUGCUCCCAGCAGCUUGGGAUACACGUGUGGGUGGAUUUCAUAGCAGCAGCAAGACUCUAUCAACUGUUGAAUAUGACCCCCACAAGAGCACCUUGUAUUUGAAAAGACUUCACAGUUGUGUGUAAGAAGAUAAGGUGGCUGUCAAUAUGUCUUCCUGGAUAGAUUACAUGGCUGAGUUAGAUACCCCAUCCUUCCUACUAUCUCGCUGUAAGUUCACAUUAUCACGUUUACAAUGUAUGUAUGGUCUUUUUUCUGCCCUGA
This 886-nucleotide long non-coding RNA is filed under the name Chrysemys picta bellii (western painted turtle). Its description in RNAcentral is "lncRNA (ENSCPBG00000004636.1)". The record is from RNAcentral. Lineage: Eukaryota; Metazoa; Chordata; Testudines; Emydidae.